UGGGGAAUAUUGGACAAUGGGCGAAAGCCUGAUCCAGCCAUGCCGCGUGUGUGAAGAAGGUCUUCGGAUUGUAAAGCACUUUAAGUUGGGAGGAAGGGCAUUAACCUAAUACGUUAGUGUUUUGACGUUACCGACAGAAUAAGCACCGGCUAACUCUGUGCCAGCAGCCGCGGUAAUACAGAGGGGGCAAGCGUUAAUCGGAAUUACUGGGCGUAAAGCGCGCGUAGGUGGUUUGUUAAGUUGGAUGUGAAAUCCCCGGGCUCAACCUGGGAACUGCAUUCAAAACUGACUGACUAGAGUAUGGUAGAGGGUGGUUGAAUUUCCUGUGUAGCGGUGAAAUGCGUAGAUAUAGGAAGGAACACCAGUGGCGAAGGCGACCACCUGGACUAAUACUGACACUGAGGUGCGAAAGCGUGGGGAGCAAACA
RNAcentral lists this ribosomal RNA (427 nucleotides) under uncultured bacterium. Its description in RNAcentral is "partial 16S ribosomal RNA". It matches the Rfam family "Bacterial small subunit ribosomal RNA", at positions 355 to 774 of the family's 1533-position model. The record is from RNAcentral.